UCCCAGCUUCUGGCAGAGAUGAGGGCUGGCGGGAGGGGGAGGAACACAGGGACGAGAGCCUCGCUGUCUUGCAGGUACCUGCUAGCGGAACAUUGCUGAGGGAAGCACAUGCAGCGACUGAGCCAUUAUUCACAGUGAGGAGUCCGUGGCAAGGUUGGAGCGGAGCUGAAUGCAGUCACAAUUCUAUGUGCAAUUAGCUGAGGAUGCUAGCUGCUCCUUAAUCCUCUCCAUAUGGGCUCCAGGAAGCCUGGGGGAAGCCCUGAAGCACAAGGAACCUCCCACAUCCAAACCAUGGAGUGCUCCCUCCAUCUGAAAAGAACACGGUUUUAAGAAAAAAAGACACCAGAAGUGGAGUCUGUUCGUGCCAUUACGGGGGUGCAGGAGUCGGGGGAACCCCAACGCGCCGUCACAUCUGGUCCUGUCUAAAUGAAAGGACCCUGUGGACUGGGGGCAAUGCGUAUGAGGCCCUGAGGCCAACGAAGGAGGAGAGCAUCCCCCAGGGAACCCUGGCCGCGACCCAUGAGGGAGCAGUAGCGAGGACACUUGGCGGAACAGGUCCAGGUGGGGAAAGCCCCAGGUGCGGAAAAUGGAUG
This is a non-coding RNA of Pelodiscus sinensis (Chinese soft-shelled turtle), 593 nucleotides long. Lineage: Eukaryota; Metazoa; Chordata; Testudines; Trionychidae. The record is from RefSeq and is a predicted model, not a curated record.